UACGUAGGGGGCAAGCGUUGUCCGGAAUCAUUGGGCGUAAAGAGCGGGUAGGCGGCCCGGUAAGUCCGCUGUAAAAGUCCAGGGCUCAACCCUGGAAAGCCGGUGGAUACUGUCGGGCUAGAGUCCGGAAGAGGCGAGUGGAAUUCCUGGUGUAGCGGUGGAAUGCGCAGAUAUCAGGAGGAACACCGAUGGCGAAGGCAGGUCUCUGGGCCACUACUGACGCUGAGAAGCGAAAGCAUGGGGAGCAAACAGG
RNAcentral lists this ribosomal RNA (253 nucleotides) under uncultured bacterium. RNAcentral describes it as "partial 16S ribosomal RNA". It matches the Rfam family "Bacterial small subunit ribosomal RNA", at positions 524 to 776 of the family's 1533-position model. The record is from RNAcentral.